AUUGAACGCUGGCGGCAGGCCUAACACAUGCAAGUCGAGCGGAUGAAGGGAGCUUGCUCCUGGAUUCAGCGGCGGACGGGUGAGUAAUGCCUAGGAAUCUGCCUGGUAGUGGGGGAUAACGUCCGGAAACGGGCGCUAAUACCGCAUACGUCCUGAGGGAGAAAGAGGGGGAUCUUCGGACCUCACGCUAUCAGAUGAGCCUAGGUCGGAGUAGCUAGUUGGUGGGGUAAAGGCCUACCAAGGCGACGAUCCGUAACUGGUCUGAGAGGAUGAUCAGUCACACUGGAACUGAGACACGGUCCAGACUCCUACGGGAGGCAGCAGUGGGGAAUAUUGGACAAUGGGCGAAAGCCUGAUCCAGCCAUGCCGCGUGUGUGAAGAAGGUCUUCGGAUUGUAAAGCACUUUAAGUUGGGAGGAAGGGCAGUAAGUUAAUACCUUGCUGUUUUGACGUUACCAACAGAAUAAGCACCGGCUAACUUCGUG
Molecule: ribosomal RNA, 484 nt
Filed under: uncultured bacterium
Lineage: Bacteria
Description: partial 16S ribosomal RNA
Rfam family: Bacterial small subunit ribosomal RNA
Source: RNAcentral